This 72-nucleotide transfer RNA is filed under the name Marchantia polymorpha subsp. ruderalis. It matches the Rfam family "tRNA". From Rfam's summary of the family: Transfer RNA (tRNA) molecules are approximately 80 nucleotides in length. Their secondary structure includes four short double-helical elements and three loops (D, anti-codon, and T loops). Further hydrogen bonds mediate the characteristic L-shaped molecular structure. tRNAs have two regions of fundamental functional importance: the anti-codon, which is responsible for specific mRNA codon recognition, and the 3' end, to which the tRNAs corresponding amino acid is attached (by aminoacyl-tRNA synthetases). tRNAs cope with the degeneracy of the genetic code in two manners: having more than one tRNA (with a specific anti-codon) for a particular amino acid; and 'wobble' base-pairing, i.e. permitting non-standard base-pairing at the 3rd anti-codon position. Lineage: Eukaryota; Viridiplantae; Streptophyta; Marchantiopsida; Marchantiales; Marchantiaceae. The record is from Rfam by way of RNAcentral.
GCUGUAAUAGCUCAGUUGAUUAGAGUGUGGCUGUUAACCAUAAGGUUGGAGGUUUGACCCCUUCUACUAGUG